UUCGCAAUGCCCGAAAGGGUGACGAAGCGACGCCGCGUGGGUGAGGAAGGCCUUCGGGUUGUAAAGCCCUGUCAGGAGUUAAGAAAUGUAAGUGCGCUAAUAUCGCAUUUAUUUGACGAAGGCUCCAAAGGAAGUCACGGCUAACUCUGUGCCAGCAGCCGCGGUAAUACAGAGGUGGCAAGCGUUGUUCGGAAUUAUUGGGCGUAAAGAGCACGUAGGUGGGUUUGUAAGUCAGAUGUGAAAGCCUUCUGUUCAACGGAAGAAUUGCAUCUGAAACUGCGAGUCUUGAGUGUAGGAGGGGAGAAUGGAACUUCUGGUGGAGCGGUGAAAUGCGUAGAUAUCAGAGGGAACGCCGGCGGCGAAAGCGAUUCUCUGGCCUAUUACUGACACUCAGUGUGCGAAAGCUAGGGGAGCAAACGGGAUUAGAUACCCCGGUAGUCCUAGCCGUAAACGAUGGGCACUAAGUAGAGGGGUUUUA
RNAcentral lists this ribosomal RNA (478 nucleotides) under uncultured bacterium. RNAcentral's name for it is "bacterial SSU rRNA". It matches the Rfam family "Bacterial small subunit ribosomal RNA", at positions 365 to 833 of the family's 1533-position model. The record is from RNAcentral.